This 602-nucleotide ribosomal RNA is filed under the name uncultured bacterium. RNAcentral describes it as "bacterial SSU rRNA". The stretch from base 1 to 523 matches the Rfam family "Bacterial small subunit ribosomal RNA", at positions 338 to 873 of the family's 1533-position model. The record is from RNAcentral.
CCUACGGGAGGCAGCAGUGGGGAAUAUUGCACAAUGGGCGGAAGCCUGAUGCAGCGACGCCGCGUGAGGGACGAAGGCCUUCGGGUUGUAAACCUCUUUCAGCAGGGACGAAGCGUGAGUGACGGUACCUGCAGAAGAAGCACCGGCUAACUACGUGCCAGCAGCCGCGGUAAUACGUAGGGUGCGAGCGUUGUCCGGAAUUACUGGGCGUAAAGAGUUCGUAGGCGGUUUGUCGCGUCGUUUGUGAAAACCCGGGGCUCAACUUCGGGCUUGCAGGCGAUACGGGCAGACUUGAGUGUUUCAGGGGAGACUGGAAUUCCUGGUGUAGCGGUGAAAUGCGCAGAUAUCAGGAGGAACACCGGUGGCGAAGGCGGGUCUCUGGGAAACAACUGACGCUGAGGAACGAAAGCGUGGGUAGCAAACAGGAUUAGAUACCCUGGUAGUCCACGCCGUAAACGGUGGGCGCUAGGUGUGGGUUCCUUCCACGGGAUCUGUGCCGUAGCUAACGCAUUAAGCGCCCGCCUGGGGAGGUACGGCCGCGACGACGUAACGUACGAAGAAGUAGACGGCGNGAAGAGUGCGAGACGACGACGAGGGAGAGG